CCUACGGGAGGCAGCAGUGGGGAAUAUUGGACAAUGGGCGGAAGCCUGAUCCAGCCAUGCCGCGUGUGUGAAGAAGGCCUUUUGGUUGUAAAGCACUUUAAGCGAGGAGGAGGCUACUAGUAUUAAUACUACUGGAUAGUGGACGUUACUCGCAGAAUAAGCACCGGCUAACUCUGUGCCAGCAGCCGCGGUAAUACAGAGGGUGCGAGCGUUAAUCGGAUUUACUGGGCGUAAAGCGUGCGUAGGCGGCUGAUUAAGUCGGAUGUGAAAUCCCUGAGCUUAACUUAGGAAUUGCAUUCGAUACUGGUCAGCUAGAGUAUGGGAGAGGAUGGUAGAAUUCCAGGUGUAGCGGUGAAAUGCGUAGAGAUCUGGAGGAAUACCGAUGGCGAAGGCAGCCAUCUGGCCUAAUACUGACGCUGAGGUACGAAAGCAUGGGGAGCAAACAGGAUUUAGAUACCCUGGUAGUCCAUGCGUAACGAUGUCUACUAGUCGUUCGGGUUCGUUUGUAGUACGUUUAGUUGGUCGGCGAGCGUAACCGACGAGUAAGUAAGACCGCCCGUCGGGGAGGGUACGGUUCGGCGAAGACGUAAAACCGUAACGAAAGUAGUAAGUUAGGUUACGGCGGUUGGAGGACGUUGCCGACGGGACGACGACGACGGGGAGGGUUAGGG
This 671-nucleotide ribosomal RNA is filed under the name uncultured bacterium. RNAcentral's name for it is "bacterial SSU rRNA". The stretch from base 1 to 557 matches the Rfam family "Bacterial small subunit ribosomal RNA", at positions 338 to 873 of the family's 1533-position model. The record is from RNAcentral.